Molecule: ribosomal RNA, 516 nt
Filed under: uncultured bacterium
Lineage: Bacteria
Description: partial 16S ribosomal RNA
Rfam family: Bacterial small subunit ribosomal RNA
Source: RNAcentral
GACGAACGCUGGCGGCGUGCCUAAUACAUGCAAGUCGAGCGGACUUUCAUUGGUGCUUGCACCUUUGAAAGUUAGCGGCGGACGGGUGAGUAACACGUGGGUAACCUACCCUGUAGAUUGGGAUAACUCCGGGAAACCGGGGCUAAUACCGAAUAACACUUUUGAACUCAUGUUCGAAAGUUAAAAGAUGGUUUCGGCUAUCACUACAGGAUGGGCACGCGGCGCAUUAGCUAGUUGGUGAGGUAACGGCCCACCAAGGCAACGAUGCGUAGCCGACCUGAGAGGGUGAUCGGCCACACUGGGACUGAGACACGGCCCAGACUCCUACGGGAGGCAGCAGUAGGGAAUCUUCCACAAUGGACGAAAGUCUGAUGGAGCAACGCCGCGUGAGUGAAGAAGGAUUUCGGUUCGUAAAACUCUGUUGCAAGGGAAGAACAAGUAGCGUAGUAACUGGCGCUACCUUGACGGUACCUUGUUAGAAAGCCACGGCUAACUACGUGCCAGCCGCCGCGGUAA